This 750-nucleotide ribosomal RNA is filed under the name Streptomyces chumphonensis. Its description in RNAcentral is "bacterial SSU rRNA". It matches the Rfam family "Bacterial small subunit ribosomal RNA", at positions 93 to 854 of the family's 1533-position model. The record is from RNAcentral. Lineage: Bacteria; Bacillati; Actinomycetota; Actinomycetes; Kitasatosporales; Streptomycetaceae.
UAGUGGCGAACGGGUGAGUAACACGUGGGCAAUCUGCCCUGCACUCUGGGACAAGCCCUGGAAACGGGGUCUAAUACCGGAUACGACACACGGAGGCAUCUCCUGUGUGUGGAAAGCUCCGGCGGUGCAGGAUGAGCCCGCGGCCUAUCAGCUUGUUGGUGGGGUGAUGGCCUACCAAGGCGACGACGGGUAGCCGGCCUGAGAGGGCGACCGGCCACACUGGGACUGAGACACGGCCCAGACUCCUACGGGAGGCAGCAGUGGGGAAUAUUGCACAAUGGGCGCAAGCCUGAUGCAGCGACGCCGCGUGAGGGAUGACGGCCUUCGGGUUGUAAACCUCUUUCAGCAGGGAAGAAGCGCAAGUGACGGUACCUGCAGAAGAAGCACCGGCUAACUACGUGCCAGCAGCCGCGGUAAUACGUAGGGUGCGAGCGUUGUCCGGAAUUAUUGGGCGUAAAGAGCUCGUAGGCGGCUUGUCACGUCGGAUGUGAAAGCCCGGGGCUUAACCCCGGGUCUGCAUUCGAUACGGGCAGGCUAGAGUUCGGUAGGGGAGAUCGGAAUUCCUGGUGUAGCGGUGAAAUGCGCAGAUAUCAGGAGGAACACCGGUGGCGAAGGCGGAUCUCUGGGCCGAUACUGACGCUGAGGAGCGAAAGCGUGGGGAGCGAACAGGAUUAGAUACCCUGGUAGUCCACGCCGUAAACGUUGGGAACUAGGUGUGGGCGACAUUCCACGUCGUCCGUGCCGCAGCUA